GCCUGAUACAGACGGAGAACCACGGGACGCACAACAGAGGUGGAGCCGCCCCUCCCUGCCCGUGUGACAAAGAGACUGCGAGGAACCACUGCUCUCUCUCUCUCUCUGGGUUGGACUCGUUCAUUCGUCUCGCGCUGGUCGCCCGCGCCUCGUCACAACGCGCGCGGGAGAUACGGGCGUCACCCGAUCGCCCAUCAGCCGUUUCCUCGCCACCAAACCCUCUCCUAUAAUCCAUAAAUAUCUUCCGCAGGAAGAACUCCGUUAGCUUCUUUCCUCUGUACGUUGUGGGUUUUUCUCUUCAAAGUCCCUAAUGGCGAUGGUGGCGGAUAUCGGCAGUCUUGCGGUGCGGAUCCCGCCGGACCCUGCCGGUCUCGCUACGUCGCGGCAUGUCGGCCGAGAUUUUCAUCGACGAGGGUGGGUUUCGAGGCAAGCACUGCGGCGGAGCCUUGCGGUGAAAUCCAUGAGGAUAGCGGAAAGGGGCGGGCAGGCCCCGGAGUCUGGAUCCUCCAAUGGCCAUCUCUACCCGAAUCUGAACUUUAAGUUGAAUGCUUAUGAGCUUCAGUCAGGCACAUUCAAUGAGAGGGAGACGAUGGUAGCAUCAAAUUCACAAAGGAAAACUAAGAUAGUAUGCACAAUUGGACCCUCAUGUAACACGCGUGAUAUGAUAUGGAAACUGGCAGAAGCAGGAAUGGAUGUUGCAAGGCUUAAUAUGUCUCAUGGAGAUCAUGAAUCACAUCAGAAGAUCGUUGAUUUGGUCAAGGAAUAUAAUGCUCAGUCCAAGGACCAUGUUAUUGCUAUAAUGCUGGACACGAAGGGUCCUGAGGUAAGAAGUGGAGAUGUGACGCAUCCUAUCUUGCUCAAGGAAGGACAGGAGUUUAACUUUACUAUCAAAAGAGGAAUCAGUUCUGAAAACACUGUCAGUGUAAAUUAUGAUGACUUUGUAAAUGAUGUGGAAGUUGAUGACAUUCUUUUGGUUGAUGGUGGGAUGAUGUCACUAACUGUAAGAUCAAAAACUGCUGAUACAGUCAAAUGCAAAGUAAUAGAUGGUGGAGAACUAAAAUCAAGGCGUCAUUUGAAUGUGAGGGGCAAGAGUGCUACUCUCCCAUCAAUUACAGAAAAGGAUUGGGAAGAUAUCAAGUUUGGUGUGGACAACCAAGUCGACUUUUAUGCAGUUUCAUUUGUUAAAGAUGCCAAAGUGAUACACGAACUAAAAGACUACCUUAAAAGAUGCAAUGCAGAUAUACAUGUUAUCCCUAAAAUAGAAAGUGCGGAUUCAGUUCCAAAUCUUCAGUCAAUUAUUUCUGCUUCAGAUGGGGCAAUGGUGGCUCGUGGAGACCUUGGUGCUGAACUCCCUAUCGAGGAUGUCCCUUUACUGCAGGAAGAGAUAAUUAGAAGGUGUAGAAGUAUGCAGAAACCAGUGAUUGUAGCCACAAAUAUGCUAGAGAGCAUGAUAAAUCAUCCAACUCCAACCAGAGCAGAAGUUUCUGACAUAGCAAUUGCAGUUCGAGAAGGUGCAGAUGCCAUCAUGCUAUCGGGUGAAACUGCUCAUGGAAAGUAUCCAUUGAAAGCUGUUAAAGUAAUGCACAAUGUAGCAUCAAAGACUGAAUCAACAAUAUCAAGCACCGUUAAGCACUCAAUUCCUGCAAUGGUAGUCCAGGCUGUAAGUGGCGAGGACUUCUCUCAAAGCCGGAUGAGUGCGCUGUUUGCUUCACAUGCAACAGCAAUGGCCAAUACUGUUGGCACACCUAUUAUCGUUUUCACACAAACUGGUUCCAUGGCGAUACUUCUGAGUCACUAUCGGCCUUCAUCAACUAUAUUUGCAUUCACGAAUGAGGAAAGAGUGAAGCAGAGGCUGUCUCUUUACCAUGGGGUGCUGCCCAUAUACAUGCAGUUCUCCGGUGAUGCAGAGGAGACCUUCUCUAGGGCGAUCAAGUUCCUGCUGGGUCAUGGGCAUCUGAAGGACGGAGAAUAUGUCACUCUAGUUCAGAGUGGAAUACACUCGAUCUGGAGACGGCAAUCUACGCAUCACCUUCAAGUUCGCAAAGUUGGAGGCUGAUGCGAUCUUCGUAUAGGCAAUUCUUUUACCACGAUUACAAGCCAACCCGAGGACCAGAGGGGCUCAAAUAUGGAGACAGUGGGAGCCCAAAAGCAACUGCCCAAUGGUGAUGUGGCCACGUGGCGAAGUCGUUCCCGUCAAACUCUGACCAAUGAGGGGGCGCCACGUUUUCCACCUGUUCGUUCGCGUCGGGCGACUCUGGGUUGUCUGUUUCCCGUUUAAAGUAAACAUUGUAUUCCAAAUGCGACUUCUCGACGUGUUUACCGCCGUGUCAACCCGCUUCGUGAUUGAAGCAAGAUGCGGGUCCCAUAGCAGAAUGGUCGUGUUGGCGAGACGUGCCCGAAAGGGUAGAACGAACCCGCCCAAUUAUUAUCUGUCUAUUUGAGGACACAACGAAUAAACAGAGGCAAAGGGUCGUUAACCAACCUGAGCGAGGACUUUCCGUUCCCCACCCUUCCCGUUCCUUUCGCCUCUUCUGGGUCGCAGGCAAUGGGGCAUCAGCAUCGUCGUCAUCGUCCAAACGACGAGAAGACUGAUUGGCUCUCUACGGACUCCAUGGCACCCAAGACGGACGUUACACAGGAACUUGCUCGAGAGUCUCUAAUAGCAAUCUCCCAAUCUGUUCCAGAAGAGAACCCCACCUCACAUUUGUUGCCGGUUAACCCAGCUGUUGUUACCAUCGCCAGUGCAAAGGAAACUGAAGAGACUGAAAAGUACAGAUCCGCGCUGAUCUCUAUUGCCGCUAUCCAGUCUCCAUAAGUUGAUCUGUGACCUGAGGUCAAUUUGUAUUUCUCGUGUUGAUAAGUUGAUCCGUGUUACUCGUCGCCGUUAA
This is an RNA transcript of Musa acuminata AAA Group (dessert banana), 2888 nucleotides long. It is a transcript of the gene named pyruvate kinase isozyme G, chloroplastic-like, with no coding region annotated. The transcript is spliced from 14 exons. The record is from RefSeq and is a predicted model, not a curated record. Lineage: Eukaryota; Viridiplantae; Streptophyta; Magnoliopsida; Zingiberales; Musaceae.